UACGGGGGGGGCAAGCGUUGUUCGGAAUUACUGGGCGUAAAGGGCUCGUAGGCGGCCAACUAAGUCAGACGUGAAAUCCCCAGGCUCAACCUGGGAACUGCCUUUGAUACUGGCGAUCUUGAGUCCGGGAGAGGCGAGUGGAACUGCGAGUGUAGAGGUGAAAUUCGUAGAUAUUCGCAAGAACACCAGUGGCGAAGGCGGCUCACUGGCCCGGUACUGACGCUGAGGUGCGAAAGCGUGGGGAGCAAACAGG
RNAcentral lists this ribosomal RNA (253 nucleotides) under uncultured bacterium. Its description in RNAcentral is "partial 16S ribosomal RNA". It matches the Rfam family "Bacterial small subunit ribosomal RNA", at positions 524 to 776 of the family's 1533-position model. The record is from RNAcentral.